This 440-nucleotide ribosomal RNA is filed under the name uncultured bacterium. Its description in RNAcentral is "partial 16S ribosomal RNA". It matches the Rfam family "Bacterial small subunit ribosomal RNA", at positions 338 to 795 of the family's 1533-position model. The record is from RNAcentral.
CCUACGGGAGGCUGCAGUGGGGGAUAUUGCACAAUGGGGGAAACCCUGAUGCAGCGACGCCGCGUGAGUGAAGAAGUAUUUCGGUAUGUAAAGCUCUAUCAGCAGGGAAGAAAAUGACAGUACCUGACCAAGAAGCCCCGGCUAACUACGUGCCAGCAGCCGCGGUAAUACGUAGGGGGCAAGCGUUAUCCGGAUUUACUGGGUGUAAAGGGGGCGUAGACGGUUAUGUAAGUCUGGAGUGAAAGCCCGGGGCCCAACCCCGGGACUGCUUUGGAAACGGUGUAACUGGAGUACAGGAGGGGCAGGCGGAAUUCCUGGUGUAGCGGUGAAAUGCGGAGAUAUCAGGAGGAACACCGGCGGCGAAGGCGGCCUGCUGGACUGAAACUGACGUUGAGGCUCGAAAGCGUGGGGAGCAAACAGGAUUAGAUACCCGGGUAGUC